Molecule: long non-coding RNA, 1031 nt
Organism: Psammomys obesus (fat sand rat)
Lineage: Eukaryota; Metazoa; Chordata; Mammalia; Rodentia; Muridae
Exons: 3
Source: RefSeq, a predicted model, not a curated record
CCGGCCGCCAUGUUGGAGCUCAGGAGCUGCGGCGAGCUGAGGUGUCGGUGGCUUCUUGGAGCUUAAAGAUAGUGAAAAGGUUCUACAAGUGAGCAGUCUUCACUGCGACCAACGCUGAAUGACCUGUGCUAAAAUACUGCGGAUGCUCGAGAGUUUUGUGCGGUAGACUUGGCUCAAUGAUAAGGAUUCACCUAGUGUACUCAAGACCCUGGAUUGGAUGGUUUGUUUGCAUCAGUGAAAAUACAUACUAUGCCUGUGUUAGAAGUUAAUAAAAUUCAGCUGUUAAGUAGCUCUUCCUAUCAAAAAGCUAGGCAGGCUGGUUUCUAAAUUGCCAAUACACAAUAGGAACAGUCAAAGAUGUGUGAAGAUGGCAAUUAAAAAGCGUUUUUCAAAGACUCAGCUUAUGUUGUGAGAAGAAGCUAUGGAAAUGGCAAGAGCCUUCUUCCAUUUAUUCAACAACGUAAAAGCCUCAGAAAUAACACUGUUUUUCUGCCUGUAAUGGUAAGUACUAGAAAGGAAACAAAAUGUUUACUGUUUUCUUUCUUUCCUUUGAUUUAACUGUAGAAAUGGUUCAGGUUAAUGAAUCUCUGUUUUAUUAGACAUUUAUAUGAGCAAUAACCUUAGUUUGAGUUAUGUGGGAGACUGAUUUAUUGAAAGAAAAAUAACAGAUUGGGUAGAAAUAGUGUGAAAAAUGGGACCAGUAUAAUGUAAUGGGUUCUAUAAUUUGUUGUGUGACAUAUUCUAGCUUUAUAUAUAAUGGAUAUUCAACCAUAACUGAAUGGAAAAAAUAUCAGUGUCUUUUAGAAAGACUGUACAAAUUAAGUCUUAACUUUCAUAGGAAAAAAUUCCAUUAGAAACCUAAGGGAAAACAUAACCAGGAAAAAAAAAAUGCAUCUUUCAGACCUCUUCUUUGGGUAAGGUAAACACCACAGUCUACAUUUCCUUAAGCUGACACAGGUGGACAUACCAUUGGAUUUAGGAACUAUUUGUUUGUUUGUUUGUUUGUUUGUUUUUUUAGGUUUUUUUUUUCU